UACCAGCUCUCCGAGUUGUGGGGAUGUUUAUUGGGCCUAAAGCAUCCGUAGCCGGCUGGGCAAGUCCUCUGUUAAAUCCAGCGAUUAAUCGUUGGCCUGCGGGGGAUACUGUCUGGCUAGGGGGCGGGAGAGGCCGUCGGUAUUCUCGGGGUAGGGGUGAAAUCCUAUAAUCCCGGGAGGACCACCAGUGGCGAAGGCUGUCGGCUAGAACGCGCCCGACGGUGAGGGAUGAAAGCUGGGGGAGCGAACCGGAUUAGAUACCCGGGUAGUCCCAGCUGUAAACGAUGCAGGCUAGGUGUUAGGGCGGCUACGUGCCGCUCUAGUGCCGCAGGGAAGCUGUUAAGCCUGCCGCCUGGGGAGUACGGCCGCAAGGCUGAAACUUAAAGGAAUUGGCGGGGGAGCACCACAAGGGGUGAAGCUUGCGGUUUAAUUGGAGUCAACGCCGGAAAUCUCACCGGGGGCGACAGCAGGAUGAAAGCCAGAUUAAAGGUCUUGCCAGACGAGCUGAGAGGAGGUGCAUGGCCGUCGCCAGUUCGUGCCGUGAGGUGUCCUGUUAAGUCAGGCAACGAUCGAGACCCGCAUCCCCCGUUGCUACCAGCCUUGAGCUGGGCACACUGGGGAGACCGCCGCCGAUAAGGCGGAGGAAGGAGCGGGCCACGGCAGGUCAGUAUGCCCCGAAUCUCCCGGGCCACACGCGAGCUGCAAUGGCAGGUACAAUGGGUUCCGACCUCGAAAGGGGAAGGAAAUCUCUAAAGCCUGCCGUAGUUGGGAUCGAGGGUUGAAACCCACCCUCGUGAACAUGGAAUCCCUAGUAAUCGCGUGUCACUAGCGCGCGGUGAAUACGUCCCUGCUCCU
RNAcentral lists this ribosomal RNA (855 nucleotides) under uncultured archaeon. Its description in RNAcentral is "SSU rRNA". It matches the Rfam family "Archaeal small subunit ribosomal RNA", at positions 474 to 1337 of the family's 1478-position model. The record is from RNAcentral.